GGAAACGUGGCUGAGCGGUUGAAGGCUCCGGUCUUGAAAACCGGCGACGGGAAACUGUCCGUGAGUUCGAAUCUCACCGUUUCCGCCA
This 88-nucleotide transfer RNA is filed under the name Burkholderia cepacia. RNAcentral describes it as "tRNA-Ser". It matches the Rfam family "tRNA". Rfam says of the family: Transfer RNA (tRNA) molecules are approximately 80 nucleotides in length. The record is from RNAcentral. Lineage: Bacteria; Pseudomonadati; Pseudomonadota; Betaproteobacteria; Burkholderiales; Burkholderiaceae.